This 557-nucleotide ribosomal RNA is filed under the name Fejervarya limnocharis (Boie's wart frog). RNAcentral describes it as "partial 16S ribosomal RNA". It matches the Rfam family "Bacterial large subunit ribosomal RNA", at positions 1817 to 2600 of the family's 2925-position model. Lineage: Eukaryota; Metazoa; Chordata; Amphibia; Anura; Dicroglossidae. The record is from RNAcentral.
CGCCUCUUGAUUACCAUAAGAGGUCCAGCCUGCCCAGUGAUACUAUUAAACGGCCGCGGUACCCUGACCGUGCGAAGGUAGCAUAAUAACUUGUUCUUUAAAUGGGGACUAGCAUGAACGGCAUCACGAGGGUCUCACUGUCUCCUUUUUCUAAUCAGUGAAACUGAUCUUCCCGUGAAGAAGCGGGAAUAAAAAUAUAAGACGAGAAGACCCCAUGGAGCUUUAAACCCAAUAGACACCUCUGACUAAUCUAACCCAAAACACUUCUUAAGUCCUGCCUAUUGGUUUUAGGUUGGGGUGACCACGGAGUACAACAAAUCCUCCAUGACGUACGGGACUUCCCUCUUAUCCUUGAACCACAUUUCUAAGAAUCAACAAAUUGACGUUUGAUGAUCCAAUAUAUUGAUCAACGGACCAAGUUACCCUGGGGAUAACAGCGCAAUCCAUUUUAAGAGCCCCUAUCGCCAAAUGGGUUUACGACCUCGAUGUUGGAUCAGGGUAUCCUAGUGGUGCAGCCGCUACUAAUGGUUUGUUUGUUCAACAAUUAAAACCCUACG